This 306-nucleotide ribosomal RNA is filed under the name Cheiracanthium mildei. RNAcentral describes it as "partial 12S ribosomal RNA". The record is from RNAcentral. Lineage: Eukaryota; Metazoa; Arthropoda; Arachnida; Araneae; Cheiracanthiidae.
AGGUAAUAUAUUUAUAAAAACCUACUUAUAACGGCGGCUUUCACUCUUAUUAGAGGAAUCUGUUUUUUAAUCGAAAACACACGAUAAAUUUCACUUAUUUUAAAAUUUGUAUAUCACCGUCAAGAAUUAAUAAUAUUAAUUAAUCUAAAUAAAAAAUAAAAAGUUAGGUCAAGAUCCAAUUUACAUUUAAGUAAAUAAUGGAUUACAUUAAAUAUAUUUAAGAAAUAAAUUUAAAAAACUUUAAGAAAAAGGAUUUAUAAGUAAUAAAAUAAUAUUAUUUUAAUUUGAAUUAGAUUAAUAAAGUGC